RNAcentral lists this ribosomal RNA (269 nucleotides) under uncultured prokaryote. RNAcentral describes it as "partial 16S ribosomal RNA". It matches the Rfam family "Bacterial small subunit ribosomal RNA", at positions 524 to 792 of the family's 1533-position model. The record is from RNAcentral.
CACGAACCGUACGAACGUUAUUCGGAAUUAUUGGGCUUAAAGGGUGCGUAGGCGGCGCUGUAAGUCGGGUGUGAAAUCCCACGGCUCAACCGUGGAAUUGCGCCCGAUACUGCAGUGCUUGAGGGAGACAGGGGUGAGUGGAACUGAUGGUGGAGCGGUGAAAUGCGUUGAUAUCAUCAGGAACACCGGUGGCGAAAGCGGCUCACUGGGUCUCUUCUGACGCUGAGGCACGAAAGCUAGGGUAGCGAACGGGAUUAGAUACCCCGGUA